CUAAGCCAUCGCGAGUCUGCCAAUCUAAGCAUGUUGGUUGGCGGCGAACGGCUCAGUAACACGUAGUCAACCUGCCCUCGGGGCGAGAACAAUCUCGGGAAACUGAGGCUAAUUCUCGAUAGAUCAAGAUUCCUGGAAUGGGUUUUGGUCCAAAUGAAGUGGCAGCAUCUUGCUAUUUUCACCCGAGGAUGGGACUGCGGCCGAUCAGGCUGUUGGUGGGGUAAAGGCCCACCAAACCAGUAACCGGUACGGGCUUUGAGAGAAGGAGCCCGGAGAUGGACACUGAGACAAGGGUCCAGGUCCUACGGGGCGCAGCAGGCGCGAAACCUUCGCAAUGCGCGCAAGCGCGACGAGGUUAUUCCGAGUGAUUUCCGCUGAGGAGAUCUUUUGUCGGCUGUAAAAAGGCCGGUGAAUAAGGGGAGGGCAAGUCUGGUGUCAGCCGCCGCGGUAA
This 451-nucleotide ribosomal RNA is filed under the name uncultured archaeon. RNAcentral describes it as "bacterial SSU rRNA". It matches the Rfam family "Archaeal small subunit ribosomal RNA", at positions 44 to 473 of the family's 1478-position model. The record is from RNAcentral.